This 653-nucleotide ribosomal RNA is filed under the name uncultured bacterium. Its description in RNAcentral is "bacterial SSU rRNA". The stretch from base 1 to 547 matches the Rfam family "Bacterial small subunit ribosomal RNA", at positions 338 to 873 of the family's 1533-position model. The record is from RNAcentral.
CCUACGGGAGGCAGCAGUGGGGAAUUUUGGACAAUGGGCGAAAGCCUGAUCCAGCCAUUCCGCGUGAGUGAAGAAGGCCUUCGGGUUGUAAAGCUCUUUCGCAAGGGAAGAAAACUUAGAUACUAAUAUUAUCUGAGGUUGACGGUACCUUGAUAAGAAGCACCGGCUAACUACGUGCCAGCAGCCGCGGUAAUACGUAGGGUGCGAGCGUUAAUCGGAAUUACUGGGCGUAAAGCGUGCGCAGGCGGUUUUGUAAGUCAGAUGUGAAAUCCCCGAGCUCAACUUGGGAACUGCGUUUGAAACUACAAGACUAGAAUAUGUCAGAGGGGGGUAGAAUUCCACGUGUAGCAGUGAAAUGCGUAGAGAUGUGGAGGAAUACCAAUGGCGAAGGCAGCCCCCUGGGAUAAUAUUGACGCUCAUGCACGAAAGCGUGGGGAGCAAACAGGAUUAGAUACCCUGGUAGUCCACGCCCUAAACGAUGUCUACUAGUUGUUGGUGGAGUAAAAUCCAUGAGUAACCGCAGCUUAACGCGUGAAGUAGACCCGCCGNGGGAGGUACGGUCGGUCGAAGAAGUUAAACGUUAACUAAAGUUAAGUUAAGUUAGUUACGGCGUUGAGACGUUGCCGACGGACGACGACGAGGGGAGGAGGGAG